RNAcentral lists this long non-coding RNA (1452 nucleotides) under Equus asinus (donkey). RNAcentral's name for it is "lncRNA (ENSEASG00005030884.1)". The record is from RNAcentral. Lineage: Eukaryota; Metazoa; Chordata; Mammalia; Perissodactyla; Equidae.
GAACCUCACCUGUCUUGAAUAACACUUGCUGUUUACUGAGAAGUAGCCCUGCUCAUUUCUCUUUGGCGUUCUCUCUGGCCACCAGGUUUUCUGGGACUUGGUCUUUAUUUUAAACAGUUUGUAGAUAGAGACGAUGGAAUUUUGAAGUUAAUAGAAAGAAGCUGCAGUGACACUAUUAAUCCAAGAAAAAGUCUGCCAAACCUUACUUUACACUUUGAGAAAAUGUUUUGCUUGUUUUCAGUCUGGCCUCAUCACAGUCAUUUUGAACACACACACACACACACACACACAUACACUGUAGUGGGUUGAAUGGUGGCCCCUCAAAAGAUACAUUCACCUGGAACUUGUGAAUGUGACUCUAUUUAGAAAAAUGGUUUUUGCAGAUCUAAUAAGGAUCCUGAAAUGAGAUCAACCUGGAUUAUCCAGGUGGGCCCUAUAGCUAAUGACAAGUGUAGUAUAAGAGACAAGAGAAGACACGGGAGGGCAGAAGGCAAUGUGAAGACAGAGGCAAAGACUGGAGUGAUGCAACUGCAAGCCAAAGAAUCCCUGGAGCUGUCAGAGAUUGGAAGAGGCGAGGAAGCUUCUCCCCUGAGUCUUCAGAGGGAGCACAAGCCUGCCGACACGGUGAUUUUGGACUUCUGGCCUCCAGAACGACCAAGAAUCUCAGAUGGACAUUUUAAAGUAGAACAUAGGAUGAACUGGUUACCCCGGAAACCAGGGAAGGAAAAAAAAACCGAUCCAAGUGCAGUGUUAAUAAACAGCUUAGCGUGCAAAAAUAUAAUAGAAGAACGUUCCAGGUUACUCUGCUGCUGUCUUGGUUUUGGGAUAUAUUGGCCAUUGGCUGCAACCAGUCUUUCUCACCCUAAAUCAUCUUAUAAACUGUGUAUGAAGUUCUUUAAGACAGCUCUGUGACUGAACGAAAGGAAGAAAGAGCAAAGGGAAGGGCUGGAAGAGAGAGAGGGCAGCACAUGCCAUCGCCACUGAGGGAGAGGCAGCCGGUCAAGAUGAUUUUGCUUCACUGAGUAGCAUUUGGAAAUAAUUGAUGUAUAUUGUUUCUGGGCUUUUAUUUGGGUGUUAAAAAAUAAUUCUUCCCAUUUUUAUCUUCUUUAUUUUAAAAAGUUGCAUAUGCCUUUUGUAUAAAAUUUAGUUUGUAUAAAACAAAGCUAAAAAAAUCACAAAUCUGUUUCAUUUUAAAAAAAUCUUUAAAGGAGAAGUAUCUUUUUAACCUCAAUAUGUGUUCCGGGACUCUGGUUAUCUCAGUUGACCUAUCCUCAGAGACAGGUGUUCAUAGCUUCAGAUUCCACGUGGGUUGGUUUGUUUUGGGGCCAUUGUGAGAGACCAUUUUGAAAAUGCGCAGUAUUAAUCACCAAGGAGACUUAGAGAAGCUGUCAUGGGUAAAAACUAAUCAUUAUCAUUUCUUACAGAAGCAAUUCAAAGACCCUUUGAUAGUGG